AUACGUAGGGGGCUAGCGUUAUCCGGAAUUACUGGGCGUAAAGGGUGCGUAGGUGGUUUCUUAAGUCAGAGGUGAAAGGCUACGGCUCAACCGUAGUAAGCCUUUGAAACUGGGAAACUUGAGUGCAGGAGAGGAGAGUGGAAUUCCUAGUGUAGCGGUGAAAUGCGUAGAUAUUAGGAGGAACACCAGUUGCGAAGGCGGCUCUCUGGUCCGAUACUGACGCUCAUGCUCGAAAGCGUGGGGAGC
This 246-nucleotide ribosomal RNA is filed under the name uncultured bacterium. RNAcentral describes it as "partial 16S ribosomal RNA". It matches the Rfam family "Bacterial small subunit ribosomal RNA", at positions 523 to 769 of the family's 1533-position model. The record is from RNAcentral.